Molecule: ribosomal RNA, 422 nt
Filed under: uncultured eukaryote
Lineage: Eukaryota
Description: SSU rRNA
Rfam family: Eukaryotic small subunit ribosomal RNA
Source: RNAcentral
AGCCGCGGUAAUUCCAGCUCCAAUAGCGUAUAUUAAAGUUGCUGCAGUUAAAAAGCUCGUAGUUGGAUUUCUGGCGUUUCAUUUCAGGCCGGCCACGGUUUCGUGUGUUAGUGCUUGAGAUCUUCGCCAUCCUUCCAAUGGCUAUUCAUCCUUCUUCAUUGAAGGUGUGAGUGGUCUUGGAUCUUUUACUUUGAGAAAAUUAGAGUGUUUCAAGCAGGCUGUAUGCUAUGAAUCCAUGAGCAUGGAAUAGUAAUUUAGGACUUCGGAUGUAUUUUGUGGGUGUCUAGAACUGAAGUAAUAAUUGAUAGGGAUAGGAGAGGGAGCUAGAAUUCAGCGGGUCGAGGUGAAAUUCGCGGAUACGGUGAAGAAUAACAGAGGCGAAAGCAUUCACCUAGAAUGUCUUCUUUAAUCAAGAACGAAAG